Molecule: ribosomal RNA, 301 nt
Filed under: uncultured bacterium
Lineage: Bacteria
Description: partial 16S ribosomal RNA
Rfam family: Bacterial small subunit ribosomal RNA
Source: RNAcentral
CAGCAGCCGCGGUAAUACGUAGGGUGCAAGCGUUAAUCGGAAUUACUGGGCGUAAAGCGUGCGCAGGCGGUUUUGUAAGACAGAGGUGAAAUCCCCGGGCUCAACCUGGGAACUGCCUUUGUGACUGCAAGGCUAGAGUACGGCAGAGGGGGAUGGAAUUCCGCGUGUAGCAGUGAAAUGCGUAGAUAUUCGGAGGAACACCGAUGGCGGAGGCAAUCCCCUGGGCCUGUACUGACGCUCAUGCACGAAAGCGUGGGGAGCAAACAGGAUUAGAUACCCCGGUAGUCCCUGUCUCUUAUAC